RNAcentral lists this ribosomal RNA (1372 nucleotides) under uncultured bacterium. RNAcentral describes it as "bacterial SSU rRNA". It matches the Rfam family "Bacterial small subunit ribosomal RNA", at positions 28 to 1381 of the family's 1533-position model. The record is from RNAcentral.
GAUGAACGCUGGCGGCGUGCCUAAUACAUGCAAGUCGAGCGAACGGACGAGAAGCUUGCUUCUCUGAUGUUAGCGGCGGACGGGUGAGUAACACGUGGAUAACCUACCUAUAAGACUGGGGUAACUUCGGGAAACCGGAGCUAAUACCGGAUAAUAUUUUGAACCGCAUGGUUCAAAAGUGAAAGACGGUCUUGCUGUCACUUAUAGAUGGAUCCGCGCUGCAUUAGCUAGUUGGUAAGGUAACGGCUUACCAAGGCAACGAUGCAUAGCCGACCUGAGAGGGUGAUCGGCCACACUGGAACUGAGACACGGUCCAGACUCCUACGGGAGGCAGCAGUAGGGAAUCUUCCGCAAUGGGCGAAAGCCUGACGGAGCAACGCCGCGUGAGUGAUGAAGGUCUUCGGAUCGUAAAACUCUGUUAUUAGGGAAGAACAUAUGUGUAAGUAACUGUGCACAUCUUGACGGUACCUAAUCAGAAAGCCACGGCUAACUACGUGCCAGCAGCCGCGGUAAUACGUAGGUGGCAAGCGUUAUCCGGAAUUAUUGGGCGUAAAGCGCGCGUAGGCGGUUUUUUAAGUCUGAUGUGAAAGCCCACGGCUCAACCGUGGAGGGUCAUUGGAAACUGGAAAACUUGAGUGCAGAAGAGGAAAGUGGAAUUCCAUGUGUAGCGGUGAAAUGCGCAGAGAUAUGGAGGAACACCAGUGGCGAAGGCGACUUUCUGGUCUGUAACUGACGCUGAUGUGCGAAAGCGUGGGGAUCAAACAGGAUUAGAUACCCUGGUAGUCCACGCCGUAAACGAUGAGUGCUAAGUGUUAGGGGGUUUCCGCCCCUUAGUGCUGCAGCUAACGCAUUAAGCACUCCGCCUGGGGAGUACGACCGCAAGGUUGAAACUCAAAGGAAUUGACGGGGACCCGCACAAGCGGUGGAGCAUGUGGUUUAAUUCGAAGCAACGCGAAGAACCUUACCAAAUCUUGACAUCCUUUGACAACUCUAGAGAUAGAGCUUUCCCCUUCGGGGGACAAAGUGACAGGUGGUGCAUGGUUGUCGUCAGCUCGUGUCGUGAGAUGUUGGGUUAAGUCCCGCAACGAGCGCAACCCUUAAGCUUAGUUGCCAUCAUUAAGUUGGGCACUCUAAGUUGACUGCCGGUGACAAACCGGAGGAAGGUGGGGAUGACGUCAAAUCAUCAUGCCCCUUAUGAUUUGGGCUACACACGUGCUACAAUGGACAAUACAAAGGGCAGCGAAACCGUGAGGUCAAGCAAAUCCCAUAAAGUUGUUCUCAGUUCGGAUUGUAGUCUGCAACUCGACUACAUGAAGCUGGAAUCGCUAGUAAUCGUAGAUCAGCAUGCUACGGUGAAUACGUUCCCGGGUCU